AGAAAAUCAGCGGGACCCACCACCCACUCAAACAUAUGGUUUAGAGACUUUUUUUUUAUGCUCAUUCUCUCUCCCCGCUGAAUCCUCUCUCUCGGCCAGUGCUUUAUCUCUCUGCCUUUUUCUUUUUCUUUUUCCUUUGCAAUUUGAAUCUUUGAUUAAUUCAUCAUCUCUUGCCGGAUUUAGGUGCCGUUUGAGGCAAAACGACGAGUGUGACGAGUUCUACGCGUUGAUGCAAGCAAUUUCCAGUUUUGAGCCUUCUUUGGAACUCGAAAAUUUAGGACCCAUUUUCUAGGGUUUGCUCAUUUUUGAGGUCUUGGAAAAGAACCGGUGAACGACAACCCACCUCAAGCUUGAGCGAUACUAGAAGCUCACUUUUGUGUCUUUUGUAUAUCUCCCAUUAUUUUUGCAAAGCACUAAAAGUGUGAAGGUGUAUAUGUAUAUUUUGCAAAAACUUUGUCAUGUAAUGUAAUUAAGGUAUUUGAUGAUA
Long non-coding RNA from Cornus florida, 487 nucleotides. RefSeq lists it as uncharacterized. The record is from RefSeq and is a predicted model, not a curated record. The transcript is spliced from 2 exons. NCBI's taxonomy places the organism in Eukaryota, Viridiplantae, Streptophyta, Magnoliopsida, Cornales, Cornaceae.